AAUGAACGUUGGCGGCGUGGAUUAGGCAUGCAAGUCGUACGGACUUUUGAGAGCUUGCUCUUGGAAGUUAGUGGCGGAAGGGAUAGUAAUGUAUGGAUAACCUACCCUCAGGUUGAGGAUAGCGGCGGGAAACUGCCGGUAAUACUCGAUAAUAUCUCCGGAUCAAAGGUGUGAUUCCGCCGGAGGAUGGGUCCAUAUCCUACUAGCUAGUUGGUAAGGUAACGGCUUACCAAGGCUUAGAUGGGUACCGGGCGUGAGAGCGUGACCCGGAUCACUGGGACUGAGACACUGCCCAGACACCUACGGGUGGCUGCAGUCGAGAAUCUUCGGCAAUGGACGAAAGUCUGACCGAGCGACGCCGCGUGUGUGAUGAAGGCCUUCGGGUUGUAAAGCACUUUCGUUUGGGAGGAAAUGUAUGAGGGCUAUCCCUUGUACUUGACCUAUCUUAGGAAGAAGCUCGGGCUAAGUUCGUGCCAGCCGCCGCCGUAACAC
Molecule: ribosomal RNA, 492 nt
Filed under: uncultured bacterium
Lineage: Bacteria
Description: bacterial SSU rRNA
Rfam family: Bacterial small subunit ribosomal RNA
Source: RNAcentral